AGACAAUGAAUUCAAGGAAGGGCCAUGAACCAGACAUAGAGGCAAAACCCACAAUAGAGCAGUAGAGACUUCACAAUCACCUUAACAAUUCAUACACCUCCUUCAACAGGUCAGCUUCAUUUAAAUUAAAUAAACAUAGAUAUAAGAAAUUGACUCAAACAUGUUAGCUUCGAUGCUAACUAAGCCUCAUACCAUAUAUCAUCCCUUCAUUGAACUCCAAUAAACAACCAUUCCCUAGCAUGAAGACUGUAGUAUCCAACCAGCCUAAAGUCCCACCGGUCAGGUGAGGUGUUGAAUCAAUUCCGAAGUACAACCAAAUAUUAAGGAGGCUGUUAUAUUUUUAUAACACAUUUUAUAAUUGGAUAUACAACAAAACUUAAGGUUUGUAGAAACAACAUAUGUGAACUGAGGUAUUGGCUUUUAUUUUUAAAGGGAAAUGUUAACCGAUGCCUACUAGCACUGAUAUAUAUAUAUAUAUAUAUUAAAUUAAAAACAAUAAAGAGAUUUAGAAAUCAAGAUUAAAUCAAGCGCACCACCAAAACAUACCAACAUAGUAACACUGUCUUUUGUUUCAUAUACCAGAUCAUGUUAUGCCAAAGAACUGCAGAUGACAGUAGAUGAUGGACAGUACAAAUCAUUAGCAGCAGCACUCAAUCAAAUGAAUAACAUACAAGAACAAACAAGUAUUACUACAGAUAAAAGGGAUUAUCACUACACAAUCAAAUAAUGAUAAGGUCAAUAAGUAAGUAUUAAUAAUCUUAAAAGAUGAAUGAGAGGAUUUAUUUCUAACAUUAUCACAUAGAAAGAAAGGAAAAACAAUCUAUUACAAAACAUACACACAAUAAAACUCCUGAUAUCAUUACUAUGUUUUUUCCACACAAUUCCAAUAAUCGAUGCAUCAAUUCCCAAGACAACUCCUUAUCUUUUUUCAUUUGGGUUUGCAUCCCAGGAUGCGGAGGAUCGCAAAUUAACAGAAACAUCAGAAGAAAGCACACAGCAAAUAGCAUCGAAAGUAUUACAAUAGUAUUUAGAUUACAUAUCAUGAAAAGAGUUAAUACAAGCAUAAACAUGAGUUUGCGAAAUACACAACAAUCAAUCCAUGAAUUAUUGUUAUUAUAUGAUGUGAUCAAAGGGCUUCCUUAACGCUAACGGCAGGAAUCUUUACAUACCCCAUCUUCUUAGGGCUAAAUUCUUCAUCGCUCUCAUCAUCCUCCAAACAAGCGCGAUGAUACUCCAAGCGGGCGGAGAAGAGGGUCCACACCAAGUACAUGGUGGCGGCAGUGAGAGCGCCACAGCCGACGCCAAAGAGGAG
This 1312-nucleotide long non-coding RNA is filed under the name Theobroma cacao (cacao). Its description in RNAcentral is "long non-coding RNA (TCAC_LNC002293)". Lineage: Eukaryota; Viridiplantae; Streptophyta; Magnoliopsida; Malvales; Malvaceae. The record is from RNAcentral.